UAUUUAAUUUAUUUAUAAUGUUAACAAUAAGUGAUAAUAGUUGCCGUGAUUGGUGGUCAAGUGGUAGUGAUGAUAGCGACAGCAGUGGGUAGUUGAUGGUAGUGGCGGUAAGGUGGGUAGUGUUGGAACGGUGGUAGAGGUGACAAUAGCUAAGCGAUGAUAGCUGUGGUGGACAGUGAGAGCAAUUGGUGGUGAUAGCUAUUGGUGGUAAUAGGAUAAGAUGAUGGUGAUGGCCAUGGUAGCGGUGGUUGUGGUGGUGGUAGUGGUGAGUAGAAGCAGUGGUGGUAGCAUGAUUAGUGGUGGUAGUGUCAGUGGUUAUCCAAUUCCAUAAUACUCAAGACUCAUUAUUAGUUAUCCCAACCAUAAAUUUAGCCAUUGAUCAUGGCAUAACUACUAGACAACUAAUCGCAUAGAAACUUCAACGAAAACACCAAACAUACAGGCUUCAGCAUUAUAUUGAAAACCAAAAGCCAUGUCUAUCAACAUCACAUCGAAAGCCAAAAGCAUCUCCCACCUACAUUAAUAAUCCCCUGUACAGUAUUGCAACAUGUGUUCACAGUACUAUCAGUGUAAUGGAAAUUAUUUCAAAGAAGGCAAGAACAGAACCCAUCAACAACCACUCUUGCUGCAACUAGUAAUCCGUGCCUCGGAGAAAAUUAGAGUAAACCCAAAACAGAUUUUUUUCCAUUUAACGAAAAUUAACUGAAAAAAGAAAAACAAAGGCAAAAAGGGAGAAACGGAAGGCAUACCCUUUUGCGCAUGCGGCGGAACUCGCUAGACUUAAACUCAUUGCGCGCCGAUUUCUGAAGCCGAAGCAUGAAGAGUUCGCCUUUAAGAUCAACCACCUCCUCAUUAAUUUGCUCGGUGGACAUAACCCUGAUUUCCUUCAUUUCUUCUUCUCUCUUCGCCAUCAUUACAACGGAGGGGAGCGAGUUUCCAGAAAAAGACCGUGUCAUUUUGGCAGGUACCGAAAUUGGGAGGGGACAUGUGUGGCGGAUUUGGAUGCCGGAGAAGCUAGAUCUGGGGAAUGUAGAUAAGGGUUUGGGAAGGACAAUUGCAGUGGAAAGAUUGAACA
Molecule: unclassified non-coding RNA, 1075 nt
Filed under: Hevea brasiliensis (rubber tree)
Lineage: Eukaryota; Viridiplantae; Streptophyta; Magnoliopsida; Malpighiales; Euphorbiaceae
Source: RNAcentral